CCAAUAGCGUAUAUUAAAGUUGUUGCAGUUAAAAAGCUCGUAGUUGAAUUUUGGAUUCUUCCAAUUGGUCCAUCUUUUAGAUGAGUACUGGUUGUGUGGGGUCUAUCCGCCUGGUGAUACGUAAUGUCCUUUAUUGGAUGUUGCGGGUAGUCAGGACCUUUACCUUGAAAAAAUUAGAGUGUUUAGAGCAGGCUUAUGCCGGAAUACAUUAGCAUGGAAUAAUAGAAUAGGACGAAGUUGUUUUAUUUUGUUGGUUUCUAGGACAACCGUAAUGAUUAAUAGGGAUAGUUGGGGGCAUUAGUAUUCAAUUGUCAGAGGUGAAAUUCUUGGAUUUAUUGAAGACUAACUACUGCGAAAGCAUUUGCCAAGGAUGUUUUCAUUAAUCAAGAACGAAAGUUAGGGGAUCGAAGACGAUCAGAUACCGUCGUAGUCUUAACCAUAAACUAUGCCGACUAGGGAUCGGGCGAUGUUGUUUCCAUGACUCGCUCGGCACCUUAUG
This 499-nucleotide ribosomal RNA is filed under the name uncultured Glomeromycotina. Its description in RNAcentral is "partial small subunit ribosomal RNA". It matches the Rfam family "Eukaryotic small subunit ribosomal RNA", at positions 591 to 1092 of the family's 1831-position model. The record is from RNAcentral. Lineage: Eukaryota; Fungi; Glomeromycota.